RNAcentral lists this ribosomal RNA (377 nucleotides) under uncultured eukaryote. RNAcentral describes it as "partial 18S ribosomal RNA". It matches the Rfam family "Eukaryotic small subunit ribosomal RNA", at positions 592 to 976 of the family's 1831-position model. The record is from RNAcentral.
CAAUAGCGUAUAUUUAAGUUGCUGCAGUUAAAAAGCUCGUAGUUGGAUUUCGGGUGGGAAUGGCCGGUCCGCCGUUUCGGUGUGCACUUGCUACGCCCACCUUGCUGCCGGGGACGUGCUCUUGAGUUCACGCUCGGGACACGGAGUCGGCGAGGUUACUUUGAGUAAAUUAGAGUGUUCAAAGCAGGCCUACGCUCUGAAUACAUUAGCAUGGAAUAACACGAUAGGACUCUGGCCUAUCUUGUUGGUCGGUAGGACCGGAGUAAUGAUUAAGAGGGACAGUCGGGGGCAUUCGUAUUUCAUUGUCAGAGGUGAAAUUCUUGGAUUUAUGAAAGACGAACUACUGCGAAAGCAUUUGCCAAGGAUGUUUUCAUUAA